RNAcentral lists this transfer RNA (90 nucleotides) under Spiribacter sp. 2438. Its description in RNAcentral is "tRNA-Ser". It matches the Rfam family "tRNA". From Rfam's summary of the family: Transfer RNA (tRNA) molecules are approximately 80 nucleotides in length. Their secondary structure includes four short double-helical elements and three loops (D, anti-codon, and T loops). Further hydrogen bonds mediate the characteristic L-shaped molecular structure. tRNAs have two regions of fundamental functional importance: the anti-codon, which is responsible for specific mRNA codon recognition, and the 3' end, to which the tRNAs corresponding amino acid is attached (by aminoacyl-tRNA synthetases). tRNAs cope with the degeneracy of the genetic code in two manners: having more than one tRNA (with a specific anti-codon) for a particular amino acid; and 'wobble' base-pairing, i.e. permitting non-standard base-pairing at the 3rd anti-codon position. The record is from RNAcentral. Lineage: Bacteria; Pseudomonadati; Pseudomonadota; Gammaproteobacteria; Chromatiales; Ectothiorhodospiraceae.
GGAGAGGUGGCAGAGUGGUCGAAUGCGGCGGACUUGAAAUCCGUUGAGCCUUCACGGGCUCCGGGGGUUCGAAUCCCUCCCUCUCCGCCA